This 445-nucleotide ribosomal RNA is filed under the name uncultured bacterium. Its description in RNAcentral is "partial 16S ribosomal RNA". It matches the Rfam family "Bacterial small subunit ribosomal RNA", at positions 354 to 796 of the family's 1533-position model. The record is from RNAcentral.
GUAGGGAAUAUUGGGCAAUGGAUGCAAGUCUGACCCAGCCAUCCCGCGUGCCGGAAGAAGGCCCUCAGGGUUGUAAACGGCUUUUGACGGUGAAGAAUCGACAGGAUGCGUCCUGUUUUGACGGUAGCCGUUGAAUAAGCACCGGCUAACUCCGUGCCCGCAGCCGCGGUAAUACGGCGGGUGCGAGCGUUGUCCGGAUUUCUUGGUUUUAAAGGGUGCGUAGGCUGGAAGGUCAGUCAGCGGUGAAAAGCUGUCGCUUAACGAUAGUCUUGCCGCAGAUACUUCCUUUCUUGGAUGAGGAGGAGGCCACUGGAACGGAUGGUGUAGCGGUGAAAUGCAUAGAUAUCAUCCAGAACACCGAUUGCGAAGGCAGGUGGCUGUACCUUAAUCGACGCUGAUGCACGAAAGCAUGGGGAGCAAACAGGAUUAGAUACCCUAGUAGUCC